Zingiber officinale is the source of this 648-nucleotide long non-coding RNA. RefSeq lists it as uncharacterized. Lineage: Eukaryota; Viridiplantae; Streptophyta; Magnoliopsida; Zingiberales; Zingiberaceae. The transcript has 4 exons. The record is from RefSeq and is a predicted model, not a curated record.
CUUUCCCCGCACACCCGACGCCGAAACCUUUCUCCCCGCGCGUCCUUCUCUUCUUCCCCACGCGAACCCGUGCCCUAACUGCCUCUCCCCAACCGGCGACGCAAAAUCGCCAUUUCCCCUCGCCUCUCCUCCUCUUAUCUUCUCUGUGAGCCACUCUGUCCAAAUCCUUUUCGGCGCCGGAGCAAUUCUUCUCGGCCGGUGAAGCCUCGUGAGCCGAAGCAGUGGUGUCGCCACCCUUCUUUUCCGCGACGCUGGUGCCUCCUCUCGGCCCGUCCACCCCCGCCGGCCACCAGCGAAGAGGCGUGGGAUCUGUUCCACACCAGCCAUUUGGGUGAAGGGAUAGCUAUUGUCUUCACCAACUGUUGUCCGAUCUUCUUCUCUGUUCCGGCUCGGCACAUUGUGGCAUUUGGAUUUCACCAGAGGAAGCUUCAAACCUGUUUGGGCUUUAGCCAUUCUUAUUGAGGAUGAUCCACAGCUUCGGACAUAACUUCCAGCAGCAAGAUCUGUGUUUGUGAGUUGGCAGGAAGAUACUUAGAGUGAGUGAAGAAUUUCAGCAGCCAACAACCCUUGACGGCAGUAAUUCCAGCCAGCAACUCUUUGAUUCCAGUACAAACCAGUGGCUGUGAAUUUAGGACUUUGAUUCGAGAC